CACGUAGGGGGCAAGCGUUGUCCGGAUUUAUUGGGCGUAAAGAGCUCGUAGGCGGCUCAGUAAGUCGGGUGUGAAACCUCCAGGCUCAACCUGGAGACGCCACCCGAUACUGCUGUGGCUUGAGUCCGGUAGGGGAGCGUGGAAUUCCUGGUGUAGCGGUGAAAUGCGCAGAUAUCAGGAGGAACACCAGCGGCGAAGGCGGCGCUCUGGGCCGGAACUGACGCUGAGGAGCGAAAGCGUGGGUAGCGAACAGG
RNAcentral lists this ribosomal RNA (254 nucleotides) under uncultured bacterium. RNAcentral's name for it is "partial 16S ribosomal RNA". It matches the Rfam family "Bacterial small subunit ribosomal RNA", at positions 524 to 776 of the family's 1533-position model. The record is from RNAcentral.